Lepisosteus oculatus (spotted gar) is the source of this 133-nucleotide long non-coding RNA. It matches the Rfam family "Embryonic ventral forebrain-2 long ncRNA". Lineage: Eukaryota; Metazoa; Chordata; Actinopteri; Semionotiformes; Lepisosteidae. The record is from Rfam.
ACUUUCACACCUGGAUGUGCUCACUCAACCAAGAGUUGUAUGCAGCGAGAGAACCGAUUUUGUUGCAAAAUGUUCAGUUCUGCUCCUUUCCUGUUAGUUCGAGGCAGCUUGUUUAAAAAGACAUUGACCUAAG